AACGAACGCUGGCGGCGCGUCUUAAGCAUGCAAGUCGAACGGCAAGAGAGGAGCUUGCUUCUCUCCUAGAGUGGCGGACUGGUGAGGAACACGUGGGUAAUCUACCCUUAAGAUGGGGAUAGCUGCUAGAAAUAGCAGGUAAUACCGAAUACACUCGGCAUAUCACAAGAGGUGUUGAGGAAAGGAAGCUACGGCUUCGCUUGAGGAUGAGCUUGCGUCCCAUUAGCUAGUUGGUGAGGUAAAGGCCCACCAAGGCGACGAUGGGUAUCCGGCCUGAGAGGGUGAACGGACACAUUGGGACUGAGAUACGGCCCAAACUCCUACGGGAGGCAGCAGCUAAGAAUAUUCCGCAAUGGACGGAAGUCUGACGGAGCGACGCCGCGUGGAUGAAGAAGGCUGAAAAGUUGUAAAAUCCUUUUGUUGAUGAAGAAUAAGGGUGAGAGGGAAUGCUCAUCUGAUGGCGGUAAUCGACGAAUAAGCCCCGGCUAAUUACGU
RNAcentral lists this ribosomal RNA (495 nucleotides) under uncultured bacterium. RNAcentral's name for it is "partial 16S ribosomal RNA". It matches the Rfam family "Bacterial small subunit ribosomal RNA", at positions 29 to 506 of the family's 1533-position model. The record is from RNAcentral.